RNAcentral lists this transfer RNA (71 nucleotides) under Dipodomys ordii (Ord's kangaroo rat). It matches the Rfam family "tRNA". Rfam says of the family: Transfer RNA (tRNA) molecules are approximately 80 nucleotides in length. Lineage: Eukaryota; Metazoa; Chordata; Mammalia; Rodentia; Heteromyidae. The record is from Rfam by way of RNAcentral.
GGGAAUGUAGCUUAUUGAUAAGAGUGCUUGCCUAGCAUGCAUGAAGCCCUGGGUUAAAUUCCUCAUUACCA